Carassius gibelio (silver crucian carp) is the source of this 9893-nucleotide RNA transcript. It is a transcript of the gene named 60S ribosomal protein L7-like 1, with no coding region annotated. The transcript has 12 exons. The record is from RefSeq and is a predicted model, not a curated record. NCBI's taxonomy places the organism in Eukaryota, Metazoa, Chordata, Actinopteri, Cypriniformes, Cyprinidae.
GAGCGGUCGAAUGGGGAAUCUAUGCAUAUCUAUGAGAUAGAGAGCACAGUUGCGUAUUGGCUUGAAUGAAUAAAACCAGAGACGAUCCUUCCUCCACGCAAAAUACGCAAGAUGCCUAGGGCCCCCCAAACAACAGGGGGGGCUCUUGCUCUCAAAGAUUAUUAAAUUUUAGUUUCGAUUUGAAUUUGGCCAGCGGUUAUAAAACCAUGAAUGCUGAAAAAUAAAGCCAUCAACGGGUGUUGUCUGCGUUGGAUGUCUGUGUUUUUUUGUGUUUUUCACCAAGGAUUCUAAGGUGGCGUUCACACUUACGUUGUUAUCCGUCAAGGCUGCCUUAUGGGGGACGGCGGUGUGGGAGAACCAACAUCCGUGUUGUGCCUCGUUCAACGCCCUCUCUGAGGAAAUGAGGAGAGUAUUCGACCGUGCCGCGGCUGGCAGGGAAGCCGCUCAUCAACUCUCGGAACUCCGUCAAGGCUCUUCAUCAGUGACCGAUUACUCCAUCGAGUUCCGCACCCUGGCAGCCGCAUGCCAGUGGAACGAGGUGGCGCAGUGGGAUCGAUUACUGCAUGGGUUAUCCGACCGUGUUCAGAAAGAGAUCUACCUCCUCAAGCUGCCCCCCACUCUCAAAGGACUCAUAGAGUUGGCUCUAUGGGUCGACGCACGGAUUAAUCGCCUGGAUCGCCAACCCAGUCCUUCUCGCCCUACCAUCUCUCAUGCUAGGGGGCGCUUGAGUCGAGAGAACACGGUCGGUUCCGUCGACGACCAUGAGCCCAUGCAGGUGGGUAGAGCUCGGCUGUCCCAGAGGGAGAGGGAACAGCGAAGGUCCCAAGGACUGUGUCUGUACUGUGGAGGCUCUGUUCAUAACACCUACUCAUGCCCGGUAAAAGAGCUAGCCCGAUAGUAAACUUGAGGCUACUAUCGGGUGGGAUCUCCGCUGAGAAGUCCUCCUCUACAUCAUCGACUCUCCUUCCGGUGAAUCUGCGGUGGAGGAAUCAAUAUCACGAAUGUCACACCCUUCUAGACUCCGGAGCCGAAGGUAAUUUCAUUGAUUUUUCACUUGCACGUCACUUGAACAUUCCUGUCCUUCCUGUGUCUCUCCCCAUCCAUGUCACCGCACUCAACGGCCAGGAACUGCCUCACAUCACUCACCAUACAGAACCCAUCACACUGUUCACGUCUGGAAACCAUCACGAAACCAUAUACUUUUUCCUCAUGGACUCCCCUGUUGCUCCCAUUGUUUUAGGUCACCCUUGGUUAACCAAACAUAAUCCACGAGUGGAAUGGGGUUCUAACACUGUCACAUUGUGGAGUGAAAGUUGUCAUGAGUCUUGUCUGGUUUCUGCUUGUCCUGUUGUCCCUGUUUCUGUAUUUCAGAAGGAGAGCAUGGUUUUGCUAAACAUGCCCGUUGAGUAUCUGGACCUGAAGGAAGUGUUCAGUAAGUCCCGUGUUGCUUCUCUCCCUCCGCAUCGUCCCUACGACUGUGCUAUAGACUUAGUGUCAGGUAAGUCUCCGCCUAAGGGCAAGUUAUACUCUCUGUCUAUUCCUGAGAGGUAGGCCAUGGAGAAAUACAUUUCUGAUUCCUUAGCCUCUGGGUUCAUCUGUCCUUCCUCUUCUCCAGCGGGGGCGGGAUUCUUUUUUGUGGGUAAGAAGGAUGGUUUUCUGUGACCUUGGAUUGAUUACCGAGAGCUGAACAACAUCACGAUAAAGAAUACCUAUCCUUUGCCACUCAUGUCUUCAGCUUUCGAGAGGUUGCAGGGAGCAUCCAUAUUCACAAAACUGGAUUUACGCAAUGCUUAUCAUUUGGUCCACAUCAGGAAGGGGGAUGAAUGGAAAACUGCCUUUAAUACCCCUAGAGGGCACUUUGAAUACUUGGUGAUGCCGUUCGGGCUCUCCAACUCGCCCGGGUUUUCCAAGCACUCGUGAAUGACGUGUUGAGAGAUAUGGUAGAUCAGUUUAUAUAUGUUUACCUGGAUGAUAUACUGAUUUUUUCUUCAUCUCUUCAGGAACAUGUUCAACAUGUCAGACGAGUGCUCCAGAGGUUACUUGAGAAUGGGCUUUUUGUCAAGGCAGAGAAAUGCGUAUUCCAUGCACAGUCUGUUCCUUUCCUAGGGUAUAUCGUCUCGUCCGAGGGAAUAUGUAUGGACCCUGACAAGGUUAAGGCUGUGAUAGAUUGGCCAUCUCCAGAUUCCCGUAAGGCCCUACAGCGGUUUCUGGGGUUCGCCAACUUCUAUCGGUGUUUCAUACGUAAUUUCAGCCAACUAGCUUCACCUCUGACAGCCUUGACCUCCCCCAGUACUCCGUUCAGGUGGUCGUGUUCGCUAACCUCAAGAACCGCUUCGUUUCGGCUGCCAUCCUUGUGGCCCCUGAUCCCACACGGCAGUUCGUGGUGGAGGUUGACGCGUCAGAGGUGGGGGUAGGAGCAGUGUUGUCCAAAUGUGCUGCUUCGAACGAUAAGGUACAUCCUUGCGCGUUUUUCUCUCAUCGACUAUCUCCUGCCGAACGUAAUUAUGACAUUGGCAAUAGAGAGUUGUUGGCCGUCAAAUUAGCAUUAGAAGAAUGGCGUCACUGGUUGGAAGGUUCAGGGGCUCCUUUUAUUGUUUGGACCGAUCAUAAGAAUUUAGAGUACAUUAGAAUUGCCAAAAGACUCAAUUCCAGGCAGGCUCGGUGGGCACUUUUUUUCGGUCGUUUUGAGUUUACUUUAUCGUAUCGCCCGGGGUUCCGAAAAUGUCAAACCCGACUCUUUAUCACGUCUUUUUGAUCCCUCCGCCCGUCCGGUGACUCCUGAGUGUGUUUUACCUGAGAAGUUAGUGGUAUCCGCACUUGUAUGGGAGGUCAAGUCGAAGGUCAAGACGGCCUUACAAGGGGUAACGCCUCCGUCCGGUUGUCCACCGAACCGUUUAUUUGUGCCAAAGGGGUUAAUGUCCGAAGUUGUCCAGUGGGGUCAUUGUUCUAAUGUAGCUUGUCACCCAGGGAUAAGUAGAACUAAUGGGUUGGUUAGACAAUGAUUCUGGUGGCCACGUAUGGCUCGCGACGUCCGCAAUUUUGUUUUGGCUUGCUCAGUUUGCGCCAGUGGUAAGUCAUCUAACCGACCUCCUGAUGGGCUUCUUCGACCGCCGUCUGUCCCUUCGAGACCCUGGUCCCACAUCGCUCUAGAUUAUGUUACCGCCCUCCUGCCCUCUAAUGGUAUAACGGUCGUUUUGACCGUAGUGGACCGGUUCUCGAAGGCAGCACAUUUCAUUCCCUUGCCCAAAUUACCUACAGCCAAGGAGACAGCGGUCACUGUCCUAGAUCACGUCUUUCGGCUUCAUAGCCUCCCAGUAGACGUGGUUUCGGACAACGGAUCUCAGUUCAUAUCCAAAUUUUGGAAAGAGUUUUGCAAAUUGUUAGGAGUGUCAGUUAGCUUGUCUUCGGGUUAUCAUCCCCAAAGCAACGGACAAUCUGAGUGAGCCAACCAAGAUUUAGAGAGGACGUUGCGAUGUUUGGUCUCCAAGAAUAUAUCCCCUAUAUAUUAGCUUGUCUCACGUCUUGUGUUUGUGAAAUCAUUGUUUAAUGUCGGUUACCCUGUUUGUUGGCUCUAGUGUUGUCUGCGUUGGAUGUCUGUGUUUUUCCCAGAACCUCAUCCACUCUCCACACUUCCACUCAGCCACGAACACUUACCUUCGGCUCUAUUCCCCGCAGUUCCUGUGCCAUCCUCUCCUGCUGCCUACUCACCGUCAUCAUACGGACUACUCACCUUCUCUCCGCCAUCAUCCGGAUUCCUCACCUCCUCACCACCACUUCGGGGUGUCGUCUUCUUAGUCUGUUAACUCAUAUCUGUUUCCUGACUGUCCUUCACCCCACCGUCACAAGUGGUUGAACAAACUUCUCCAGGUUGAGAUGACAUCUGUUAUGAGAUGUAAAACAUCUAUCAAAAGCAUCACUAGAUUUAUUCUUAAAUAUUUUUGAUAAAGGUUUGGGAGUCAGGAAAGUGACCAGUUGACUGGAAGCAUGGGAUUAUAAUUCCAAUUGCAAAACCAGACAAGGAUUUUACGCAGUCAACUUACUACAGACCCAUAGCUUUGACAUCUAAUUUCUUCAAACUGAUGGGGGCUUAUGGUAAUGAGUAGACUGGUAUAUGUCACUGAGAAGAAACAUUUCUUAUCACCAUACCAAAGAGGAUUUAGAAAGGACGUAACAAAAUGGAUUCUGUGCUAAACUUGGAAUCUGAAAUUGUCAUGGGUGCGUACUGGACAGAGGACUCAGAUGCAGAGUAAAGAAAAAGGAGAAUCUUUAUUCUUGCCACAAAACACAAAAUAACAUAAAUAAUAACGAAAUGCUCUGGCGCACACAGAGAUCUCCGAGCUUGCCGGCACACUGCGGACCACUCACACUGCCGGAUCUCCGAAUUACGGAUCCUUUGACACAAGAACAGAAGGUGAGACUGAUACUGAGAAUAAUGCAAAACAUGGGCAAAGACAAAACAAUCUACUCACGACCACAGACAGAAAAGCAGAGACAUAUAAGGGAGUGGGGGAACGAGCGACAGGUGGGGAAGAAUCAGUUUGUGAUCUGCACAACCCCACCACAAUCAGCGCUGAUUGCCCAGACCACGAGCUACUGAACAGACAGGACAACACAGACCACAGGGGAAGCUGAGAUGGCACCCUGCACCGUGACAGAAAUAAGAUAGACAAGUUAUAACCCAACUGUUGGGUUAAAUGUUUCCCGCUUCACUCCUGUUCAAAUUUUAACGGCCCAGUCAGAGACUCAGUGCGGACAUCAGCGGCAGCCUGCCUGAUAAUGAAGGACAAUGGACUUUUUCGUGAAGGAAAAAAUGCAACAAUACAAUUUCUGCCUGUUAACUGGAACAUUUCAAUGCCUUCGUGCAGAAAUUGUCUUUAAACCCUUCCUGCCAUCUGCACCAUACCACACAAAUGGAAAAAUGGUGUGCACAUCAUACACGGAAAUGAAACGGUCCUUCAUUGACAUUCAAACUGUUGGCACUAAUUAGUGCUGUACUUGAAUCACGAGACAAGCCAGAAUCCACAUGUCCUGGUGCUUGGUGACAAGGAAAACUCCUCCCAAGAUUUUAUUAUUUUAAAUAAGGGAGGCGAUGGAACAGGAGACGAUAAUACAAGCAGUCGAUCUGUGUUUUAAACUUUAUAUGACAUCUACUACCCAAAGCCCUCUGCUCAUAUUUGAGAGUUUUUGUAACACACAGUCUUUAAUAGUUUCUUCUGCACACUGUCUCCUCCUUAAAAACUUUGUAUAUAGUAAUCAGUAAAAAACUUUAUUAUUUUAUUGAUCAUCAGUAUGUCCAGCAGUAUAUUUUUAUUAUUAUAACUUGAUUUUAUGAUUAUUUUUUGUUUUAUUAAAUGUUAUGUUCAUUUUAUUUGAAAGUCGUAAUAUUUGCCAUGUAUGGGGACCCAUAUCCGGAAUUGAAGAUUUAGAAAGAGGAAAGAGGACGUUUUAAUAACAAGAAUGCGUAUCGGUCAUUAAUGAUUAAAUCAGUUGCAAAGAAUAGGAAAACAUGUAAAUGUAAAUUGUGAUAAAUGUGUGGAUUAUGAAAGAGAACGUUUCCAGCUGGUCAAGCUUUACGAUAUUUUAGAAUAAAUGAUCUGUCACACAAGGUUCUGUUAGGAGAUGGAGCUCUUUCGAGAAUUAGUUGUUAAUUUAAAGGAAACAGGGUUGAUUAAUAGGAUUUAGAAUACCAGAUUCUGUUGUGGUUAUUUUUCCUCUUGUUAGUAGUUCUUGUUUCUAAACUUCCUAUCCACUGUGUGCUUCACAAACACUGGUGGUGGCAGGAAUGCACCCUUAAGUUGGCUUGCCAACCACCAUGAAAUCCUAAAAGAAGAAGGAGAACCAUUACUAUGUAAAUAUGAGUGUGGAUUUCGAGCUAAAACAUCAACAAUGGAUGCAAAGUACAGUAAUGAAAUAGAGAAGGCAAUAAUAUUGGAGUAGUAUAUUUAUGGUUCAGCACCAGAAUCAUUAUUACGGAAUCUAAAAAGAAUACAGUAUAGAGCUUGCAGAAUACAAUUUGCAAAUAGACAGACGUACUGUUACUUGCUCUACAUUCAAAAAUCUGGUUGUUAUACUGUAUUAGACAUUAACUUGUCUUUUAAAAAACAUCUUACUCAUGUUAUAAAAACAGCAUUUUUCCAUCUUUGAUACAUUGCCAAGCUACGAAAGUUGUUACCUGCUUCUGAUGCAGAAAAGCUAGUUCAUGGUCUCUAGACUGGACUAUUGUAAUGGGGGGAGGGGGGGUCCUGCAUCUUCAAUAAACAAACUAGAGGUAGUACAAAAUGCAGCAGCUAGGGUCCUUACCAGGUCAUUUUGCAGACUCUGCACUGGCUACCUGUUAUGUUCUGUUUAAAAAUAUUAUUACUUACUUAUAAGGCCCUUAAUGGUUUAGCUCCUGCACACCUAACUAGUCUUUUACCACUCUACAAUCCAUCACACUCCCUAAGGUCACAAAACUCAAAGUCCACUAAAGGAGGUACACUGUAAAAAAAAAAAUCCUGUAAAUUUAUAUGGAAAUUUAACAGCAAAUUGCAUUGCAUUAUUUUACAAUGCAUUAUGGGAAGACUUGUUCACUUCGGGUUGAGUGGUCGAUCUACAACAAUUUGACACUGUUAUUAACAGUAUUAUACCCUAUUUUCAUCCAAUGAGCACAAGGCGCGGCAUUUUGGAAUAUCAGAUUGAGGUAGGUUUGCAACGAUUUAUUAUUUUAUUAUCUUUAAAUGACCUAUUACUUUAACAUAUAACAUCUUAAACAUCUAAUGAAGCUUCUGUGAUUUAAAUCAGAUGCCUCAAUUAAAUUAAGUGUUUUAACUAAUGUUAUAGGCAAAUAAUUGGUCGACCGAUCCCAGGCUGAAGUCAAACAGCCAUCUUUAUCACACACAGAAAGACAUCCGCUUCUGCAGGCGUUUCUUCAUGCUGGUGAGCUCUUCCCUCCUGCUAUUGUAGCAGAAAAGGCAACAGAGUUUGUGCAAUGUCCGCCUUGGUGGGAGAACUGAGGGAAAUCAUCCUCAGGGCUUUGCGUCAAAUGAUGAGAACACCACACAGCUUUUGAUUGACAAACUUGUAGGCUCUGGAUUGGAAUCCAAAGAUGAUCUUCAGUUUGUUCAACAAGAAGACAUCAGUGACAUACUACCAACUAUAAAACUAAGAAAACUUCUCAAUGCUUUUAAAAUGGAGUCAGAAACUGUCAGUUUGGAUCUCACCACUAUAGAGCACACUCCUUCCUUAUCAGCUGGAAGCUCUUCACCACAGCCAUGCUCUUCUAAUAUGUCGGUAACUACUGAUGGAGAAUCAAGCAGUCUUGAAAACAGUCGACCAUCUACAUCGCAUUUUAGGAAAUCGUGGUCAAAUACUUUUCAGGUACCAUGGCCGCUCUUGCCUGCAGAAAUUCAGUCUGCUCUCUCUUCUGGGAAGAGAUCUUCACCACCAGCAAGACGACAAAUGGUCAGGGUGCUUGCAGAUGAAAUGAGAAAAUUUCAGCCAACACCAACACGUGCACAGUGUCUUACUAUUUGUAAAGUGAUUGUCCAUCAAUAUCCCCAGAGCUUUGCUGAUCAACUUCAUGAUGGCCAAGUUGUAGGGGAAGGUUACAGCUCACUUUUUGCCCAGAUCAAGAAUAGAAUUGAUAACCUCAGCCGGGCCACUAGUUUCCGACAACACCAGUCAGCUGGCACUAACACAUAUGGUUGCACCCGGUUUCAGCCUGAUCUUCCUUUAGAUGAGACCGAUGUCUCCAUUGAGACUAAACGCCAGAAGCUAGAGGAUCUAUUCCGUCAAGAAGGUGCAAAGGGAGCUGAGAAAGCUGAGGUAGAAAAACUGAUGGAGACAACUUUCUGCCUGCAACGGAGCCAAAUAAAUAGUGUGCCAGCACCAUCUGUUACGGAGCUGAUGGAAAAGUGGCCAUACCUCUUUUUUCAGAAAGGCCUGUUCGCCCAUUUUGAGCUGCUCACUGACAUUAAUGUCCUGCGUGCACUUGAACUUUCUAUGAAGGAGUGUGGAAAGAGCAUCUUAGAGUUUUUUAAAAGCAAGCCUACCAACUCAGAAGUCAAGUCAAUCCUUUCCAAAGAUGACCCAUGGAAAAGCAAGAUGGACUCAUUCUUCAAGAAAAUAUGUCUGCCACUCCUGCUGACCUCGAAAAGACGGGGAACCUGCCUGUGAGUCCUCGUUUGAUCCUGCUUGGUGAUAAUCCGGGCCAAUGGAUGAAACGAUGGAUGAUCAGCCUCGAAGGCCAAAUAAUCUGCGAGGGUGUGCAGCCAACUUUUCUCUCUGGACUUGCUGCAUUGUUCUCUUCGAGAACAAUUUGAGCCGAACACAGUCGGCUCAAAGAAUAUACUGGCUUCCCAGCUUUGCAAUGGCAUUGAAUAGAUCCCGUGUUUUUGAAGCUCCAAAAACCGCAUCCAUCCAUCAUAAAAUCCAUACGACUCCAGGGGGUUAAUGUAUAAUGUUAAUGUAAAAUAUUUUUUGUAAGAAAAAUAUCCAUGUUUAUAACUUUUAUCAACUAUAAUCACUGGCUUCCAGAAACAGCUGUACGCGAGUUCCAGAUAGAGUCGAGUUCCGGCAGAACAAUGACCUCUGACCCGACAUAUGAAAUCUUAUAAUCUGUUUCACAGAUGUACUUUGAGAUUUGAAUCCUGUCCGAAUCUGCCAUGUUUGUCUUUUUCUCACACGACCUCUGCAAAAAUUUCAGAGCAAAUGACCUACUGUUUUUCGUCAAACUCGGCGGUCCUCAGAUAAAUCUAAUCCCAUCCGAAUGCGAAUGUCUGUGAUUGCCGAAAUUUAUUUUUUUUCCAAAACGCUUUUUCUUUUAGUCAACAUGAACUACCGUAAAAUCUCUCGCUAUCGCGCCAGUAUUCAAGUUUCUGCUUUUUGUGCACCGAUAAUGGAUGUAGAUGUGACGCAUUCGUCAAUUCAAACCUAAGCUUUUGCUACGUCUUCGCCAUACGUCAUGCGUCAGUUCAGAGGUCACCCUUCCGCCAGAACUCAACUCAUUUAUGAACACGCAUAUGGUCAUGCCAGAUGCCAGUGAUUAUAUUUUAUAAAUUUAUAAAAUACAGAUAUCUUUCAGAUAAAAAAGGCAUGGCUUUCCUUAUUAGACAUUUAUUAACCCCGCUGGAUACAUAUCGAUUACUUUUUAUGCUUUAAAGCUGGGAAGGAUGUUAUGCAUUAUGGCUGGAAGAAGAAAGCCAUAUACACUUAUGGUUUGAGGACGUUUUGUUGGAAUUAAUCCAGAAAAGGGGACCAAGGCUGCAAGACGAAAGGUGAUGUCCAAAAAAUCUGGGAAAACCAUGCAGAAGAAGACCAUAACCGUCAGUAACAAAGUAUCAAAUCUUUUAAAAAGACUUAUGGACUUUGAGUGGCACUUCAUUUAAAAUGUAGCUGACACUCCCCACUCAUGCAGUUUGUUUUCAGAAACAUGGUUGUCUGGUGUUAUAUUUUGUUUAUACAGAGUUGUUUAGAUAUUAAAAAGGGCUGGUGUUUUUUAAAGCCUGAUUUAAGAGUUUUUUUUUUAUUAUUAUUUAUUUUAAAUAAUUACUUUGUUUUAGUGCAACUGUUUUUGGGCUAAUGUUUGCCAAAGCCUCAUUUGACACUAGAUUUGUAUUUUAUAUAGAGGUAAGUCAAUUCUAUAUAUUUUGUAUUUGUUUGCUUUUUCUUAAGCCAUUUUUGCAUUUUGAUGAGUGCUUAUUUGUAUGCACUGAAUAUUACUUGACUAGUAUUUUUUUAUUUGCCUGUUUUAGUUUACAAUAAUUGAGCAGAAUUUAUCUUGUGUUGUAUCAGAAUAAUAAAAAAAACAAUCCUAACUUGGCUUUAUUCCUUUUUUGUAAUCCAUGACAAAAAUAAUGUGCAGGGUUAUAAUAGCAUUUAGAAUUGAAAUUAUUGGGGUGUCAUUGUAAAAAAUA